Molecule: RNA transcript, 868 nt
Organism: Mandrillus leucophaeus (drill)
Lineage: Eukaryota; Metazoa; Chordata; Mammalia; Primates; Cercopithecidae
Gene name: deoxynucleotidyltransferase terminal-interacting protein 2 pseudogene
Exons: 2
Source: RefSeq, a predicted model, not a curated record
AUGCGGCUCAUUGAACCAGAGGAUUUUAAAUGUAAAACUUUUUACUUGGAAGAGGAAGACAAGGUGAGUGAGGUUGCCAUUGAGGAAGAAAAAGAGGAAGAGGAUGAAAAAAGUGAAGAUGAUUCAUCAGACCACGAUGAAAAUGAAGAUGAGUUUAGUGAUGAAGAAGACUUACUAAAUAGCACAAAGGCUAAACUCCUAAAGUUGACAAGCAGCAGCAUAGACCCUGGUCUGAGUAUCAAGCAGUUGGGUGGUUUGUAUAUUCAUUUCAAUGCAGAUAAACUACAGUCUAACAAGAAAACCCUAACACAGAUCAAGGAGAAAAAGAAAAAUGAGCUUCUGCAGAAAGCCGUCAUUAUACCUGAUUUUGAAAAACACUACUGUGUUCCAUCAUAUAGUGAAUCAAAGUAUCAACUUCAGAAAAAACGUAGAAAAGAAGGACAAAAAACAGCAGGGGAUGGCUGGUUUGGUAUGAAAGCUCCAGAAAUGACAAAUGAACUGAAAAAUGAUCUCAAAGCACUGAAGAUGAGAGCCAGCAUGGACCCGAAAAGGUUUUACAAGAAAAAUGAUAGAGAUGGCUUCCCCAAGUACUUCCAAAUUGGAACCAUUGUUGACAAUCCAGCUGAUUUCUACCAUUCACGAAUUCCCAAGAAGCAGAGGAAAAGAACUAUUACGGAAGAACUGCUGGAUGAUUCUGAGUUCAGAAGAUACAACCGCAGGAAGUACUCAGAGAUCAUGGCUGAAAAAGCAGCAAAUGCAGCAGGAAAAAAGUUCCGAAAGAAGAAGAAAUUUCGCAAUUAAGAUUUACCAAGCAAACUGCAACAUUUUACAUCACCCCUUUAUUUACUUAUUAAAGACGUUUUGAAAA